AGCUUCACAGCUUAGGGGUUUUGUUAAACUGCCAUCCUGUUUCUUCUAUUUAAGGUAUAUGUUCUCCAAUACGCAUCAGCGGUUGGUGAUGGACCUGAUUUUUCAUUUGCCUUUUGCCCCAAGCUAUUGCACUCGUCUCUAGAGGCCCUCAUGAAGACCCAAAGGGCUGAUGUCGGCUUGAAUUGCGUAGGUCAGUAUUCC
Molecule: long non-coding RNA, 201 nt
Filed under: Prunus dulcis (almond)
Lineage: Eukaryota; Viridiplantae; Streptophyta; Magnoliopsida; Rosales; Rosaceae
Description: sRNA ncRNA
Source: RNAcentral